AUUGAACGCUGGCGGCAUGCCUUACACAUGCAAGUCGAACGGUAACGCGGGGGCAACCCUGGCGACGAGUGGCGAACGGGUGAGUAAUACAUCGGAACAUAUCCAGUAGCGGGGGAUAACCUAUCGAAAGAUUGGCUAAUACCGCAUACGAUCUACGGAUGAAAGCGGGGGACCGCAAGGCCUCGCACUAUUGGAGUGGCCGAUGUCAGAUUAGCUAGUUGGUGGGGUAAAAGCCUACCAAGGCGACGAUCUGUAGCUGGUCUGAGAGGACGAUCAGCCACACUGGAACUGAGACACGGUCCAGACUCCUACGGGAGGCAGCAGUGGGGAAUUUUGGACAAUGGGCGCAAGCCUGAUCCAGCCAUGCCGCGUGAGUGAAGAAGGCCUCGGUGUAAGAUCUUCGUGAGAGAACGUAGACGCGUAAUAACGACUGACUAA
Molecule: ribosomal RNA, 438 nt
Filed under: uncultured bacterium
Lineage: Bacteria
Description: bacterial SSU rRNA
Rfam family: Bacterial small subunit ribosomal RNA
Source: RNAcentral